CUUCCUCUGGGGACAUUCUCCCUCCUGCAUGAAGACACCACCGCCCAAUAACGUGAGCCUCCCUCUUCGUAGCCCUGGCAGUGUGGAACCCGCUGAAAGCGCGUUGUGAGGAUGAGCAGAGACCUGCCAGCAGCUAAAAUUUCGCGCUUCAGCACAAUCAGCCCUGGCAGAGCAUGUGCAGUUUCUCCUCCUUCGGUAGUGGGGGCUGAUGGGCAGAUGCUGCCCACAUGCUCAUUCAUCAGAAGAGGCUUUCGCUCCCGGACUCCCCUGGGCCUCGAGCAGAAAGCGUCUCUGCCACGGAGAUACAGAGCGCGGAGCCUUCAGGGUCCUCCGCCGCUCUCAGCAAGCCCUGCUCUCGAUGGAGAGGCCAUCUCUGGUGAUGGAUGUGGGCUCCCAGGGAAGGUGCUCACGCCGGUCCCGCGCCCUCGGGGGAAGAGAUCCGAGAGCAGAGCGUCAGCGCAGGGCACGCCAGGCCCGGGGGCCGCGGGAGCAGGCGCCGCGCGUCUCUGCACCACCGCGCCGCCUCCCAGCCCUCUUUCCCCAGUUCGCCCUCCUGCCGCAGUCCGGGCCCAGAUUAAUUCUCUGCACUUGUCAGUGGGCACACACAAGUUCUCCGGGCACGAUCCUUCCAUCCGUUUCCCCGGAGGGAGUCCACCUUUUUAACGAUUAACCUCCCAGCUACCGCGGGCAAGGUGGCAGGAUGCGAGUGGGGCGGGGAGGGGCGCUUCGCACAUUCAGAGGCACCAGAAUUAGCUGCCGGUGCUCAAAUGGCUUGCUUUCUUCGGUUUUUGACAAACCUGGGUGGGAUGCUUUCUUGGCCGCCUGCCGCCCGGCCUGAGCCCCGGGCUCACUUCGCAGCCUGACGCCGAGUUUGAAACCGCAGUCCUGCUCUGCUGACACCCGGGCUUCUCGCCCCCUUGCCGAAGUCUGCGGCCCGAGGGAUGCAGGGCGCGGGCUUUCCCUGCUCGCUUUAACGCGGCUUGGGCUAAAGCCCCAGAGCUCCCACCUUCGCAGCUCCUGUUCCUCGGCCCGCCCCUCUACCUCCGCCAAAGGACGUGCCCCUUCAGUAGUGUCGGGGAUCCCAGCUCCAGCGCGGGGGAGGGCGCCUCCCUAUCCCCUCCUCCCCGUCCCCGCCUCGGCUCGGGGUUUUACUGCAGCAGCCGGAGGUGACAGCGACGCCUCAGCUGCCUCUGUUGCUCUCGCAGCCCCGGCUUCCCCUGCAUUGGGAAAGCGCCCCCUCCCGAGAGGCUGGUCCCAAGAGAAGUGCGAACGAGCUGCAGAAAACCAAAUUUUUAAACGUAGAAGUCGUUGAGCUGCAUUCCUCUGAGGACCAGUCUGAUCGCCCAGGACUGAGAGUGGCAGCGUCUGAGAAGUUGGGACCAUAGAGCAAGGGGGGAGGGGAGCGCUGCAGUGGGCAUUCUCUUUUGGAAGGAGUCGCUGGGAGCAGCGCGGUUGGACACAAGUUUGCGUAGGAGUGUUUUCCUUUUGUCAAUAAUUAAUCAAGGGAAUCAGCCUGGUAGAAUUGGAGUUUUAGCAAUAGUCCAGAGGGCGGGGCCGAACACCUAACUCGGGGAGGCUCCCAGGCGCCCGGCGCAGUGGGAAGCUCGCAGCAGCUGGGGAGGAGCCAAAGCCUCGGCGCUCACCUAAGCCGCAGGGAGAUACACCCAACCGGGAGAUGAGGAAAUAGCAACCCAGAGAGGAGAAGUAACCCAUACAGAAUCAUUUCAUGAAGGAGCAAGGCUGAAGACCCAGACCUAGACUUUAUCA
This is an RNA transcript of Sapajus apella (tufted capuchin), 1767 nucleotides long. RefSeq lists it as uncharacterized. The transcript has 2 exons. The record is from RefSeq and is a predicted model, not a curated record. Lineage: Eukaryota; Metazoa; Chordata; Mammalia; Primates; Cebidae.